RNAcentral lists this ribosomal RNA (594 nucleotides) under Meloidogyne incognita (southern root-knot nematode). Its description in RNAcentral is "partial large subunit ribosomal RNA". Lineage: Eukaryota; Metazoa; Nematoda; Chromadorea; Rhabditida; Meloidogynidae. The record is from RNAcentral.
AAUUAUYCAUUUACAUUAUUUUUAUGUUGUGACCUCUGAGCUCCAGAUUGGGACAGAGGGAAUCAGCAUAAUUUUUUGUGGUGCAUUUACUUGAUUGGUGCUUGGGGAUGUUUGAGGCAGAUUUGUUUCCGUCGUUUUGAGGCCAGCUUGCUGGUACCCAAACGGUGUUAGCAUUUUUUGUCUUGGGCAUUUGAGUAUGGCUCACGUGUAUUUAUUGGACAGAUCUGAGUGUAAGUUACGGUCGCAUGCGACACGUGCUUUUCAAUUAGUUCGGUCCAGUUAAUGCUCUCGUACUCGUUCCCCAUGUAAAAGCCGGUCAUCUAUCCGACCCGUCUUGAAACACGGACCAAGGAGUUUAUCGUGUGCGCAAGUUUUUGGGUGUUAAAAACUUAAAAGCGAAAUGAAAGUAAAUGACUCUUUAGAGUCUGAUGUGCGAUCUUGUAAAAAAGUGUAGCAUGGCCCCAUUCUAACUGUUUACAGUAGGGUGGCGGAAGAGCGUACGCGGUGAGACCCGAAAGAUGGUGAACUAUUCCUGAGCAGGACGAAGCCAGAGGAAACUCUGGUGGAAGUCCGAAGCGGUUCUGACGUGCAAAU